AGCAGCCGCGGUAAUUCCAGCUCCAAUAGUGUAUAUAAGUGUGCAGUUAAAGCUCGUAGUGAAUUUCGGUCAGCAGUUGUCGUGCACUGUAUGCACUGGUUUCGCUGAUCUCUUUCUGGAACUGUAAUGCAUUAAUUGAUGUGCAGGAACAGGACUGUUACUUUGAAAAAAUUAGAGGUUAAAGCAGGCUAACGCUUGAAUACAUUAGCAUGGAAUAAUAAUAGG
Molecule: ribosomal RNA, 225 nt
Filed under: uncultured Glomeromycotina
Lineage: Eukaryota; Fungi; Glomeromycota
Description: partial small subunit ribosomal RNA
Rfam family: Eukaryotic small subunit ribosomal RNA
Source: RNAcentral